RNAcentral lists this unclassified non-coding RNA (826 nucleotides) under Ceratitis capitata (Mediterranean fruit fly). Its description in RNAcentral is "aF4/FMR2 family member 4, transcript variant X2". The record is from RNAcentral. Lineage: Eukaryota; Metazoa; Arthropoda; Insecta; Diptera; Tephritidae.
UUGGCAAUAUUGCUCAGAAAUGCAUUGUAAUAGACUAAUACUAACGGAUGACGAGAAAAAUUAACAGUUCCGGUUUUUGAUUAACUGAAUUUUUUCUUUAAAUUUUAAUUUAAAUAUAUGGAUUUCGGGAGAAUUAAAAAAUUUCGGUGUUAAUAAUUUGAGUAUACAUUAACAAUUUAGAUAUGUGGGAAACCAAAAUCCAAUACAGUCAUCAACUCAAUUUCAUCUCAUUCAAACAUUUCCUUGUAUAUACAACAACAGUUGCGGAUUGACAAAUCAUCGUUGAAGUACUUCAUACAUACAUAAAUAUGUCUUCACCAAUUAAUUGAGUCUUUCCGGUGCAUGUGAUAUUUUAGCGAAAAUUCCGAAAUGGCUUUAAAAAUAUUUCGGCUUAAUUGAGUGUGAGGAAUAGCAAAAUAUUUAUGUUAUGAAACCAAAUAUUUGCUUGCAUCUCAGCUACCAGUAUAACACUCCACUGAACAAACAAAUUCACCGGUUAAUCAUAUGCACAUGCAGAUUAGCCCGUACAAAGACAUCAAAGCGAUGCGGAACAAAAAUAAGAAGAAAAAAAGAAGAAUUGCACAUCCCCACCCCUAUACUGACUUAUUUUCCAUUAACAUGCGCACAUCAGCACACAAACUCAAAACGAGGUAGAGCAUUGAUAGGAAGGGACGCUAGCUGUAUUUACAAGCGCAUGUUGCCAGGACGGUAAUGUUGGAAUUCCUUGGAAGUUGCAUGACCCACACGAUAAGCUUAAGGCAGAGAAUGUUACCCCAACCGAGAGUAUUUCUGACAUGAAAUGAAGGCUCCUUAUAAAAAACAUCAG